GCGCCAGUAGCUCAAUCGGCAGAGCAACUGACUCUUAAUCAGUAGGUUCGGGGUUCGAUUCCCUGCUGGCGCA
RNAcentral lists this transfer RNA (73 nucleotides) under Candidatus Eiseniibacteriota bacterium. RNAcentral describes it as "tRNA-Lys". It matches the Rfam family "tRNA". Rfam says of the family: Transfer RNA (tRNA) molecules are approximately 80 nucleotides in length. Their secondary structure includes four short double-helical elements and three loops (D, anti-codon, and T loops). Further hydrogen bonds mediate the characteristic L-shaped molecular structure. tRNAs have two regions of fundamental functional importance: the anti-codon, which is responsible for specific mRNA codon recognition, and the 3' end, to which the tRNAs corresponding amino acid is attached (by aminoacyl-tRNA synthetases). tRNAs cope with the degeneracy of the genetic code in two manners: having more than one tRNA (with a specific anti-codon) for a particular amino acid; and 'wobble' base-pairing, i.e. permitting non-standard base-pairing at the 3rd anti-codon position. The record is from RNAcentral. Lineage: Bacteria; Candidatus Eiseniibacteriota.